This 10249-nucleotide long non-coding RNA is filed under the name Podarcis lilfordi (Lilford's wall lizard). The record is from RNAcentral. Lineage: Eukaryota; Metazoa; Chordata; Lepidosauria; Squamata; Lacertidae.
CUAAAUUACAAAGUCGCUGCUUCCACUUCUGAGGAAGGGAUGGGCAGGAAUGACCAUUGCUGGCUCUGAGGUCCUCUGCUGGCUGUGAGGAGGAAAGAGCACAGGGUUUUGAUUGUCUGCCAGCUCAACCUGAAAUGACUUCUGACUAUGUCACUCUGUUUCACAGCAGAUGAUAUUAUACGCAUGCAUUCUAUCCUCUAGAAUCUGUAACAAUAUUCAAAACGUCCUUGCUGAAAUCAUUUGUUGCUACUUGCUGUCUCCCACUCAGCCCCUGCUUUACGUAACCUGAACCCUCCAGUAAAGGCUGAGGCUGUGGACACUCUUCCUUUUAAUCUGCAUUCAGGCUGAGCACUGUGCACACGGCGCCACAUUCCACAUCCUUUAUCCAUCCUAACAUUUCUUAUGGUGCAUUGCAUUCUGACGGUGUUUACUCCAAACCAGAAGAUAACUGUGUAAGCAAACACACCCUGAGGGACAGCUCAGUUGGUAUAGCAUGAGACUCUAAUCUCAGCGUUGUGGGUUUGAGCCCCACGUUGGGCAAAAGAUUCCUGCAUUGCAAGGGGUUGAAAUAGAUGAUCCUCACUGUCCCUUCCAAGUCCACAUUUCUGUGAUCCUAUGAUUUGGAGCCUUUUAAAGCACAUGGCCCCUCGAAAAGAAUUCUGGGAACUGUAGUUUACCCCUCACAAAGCUCCCAUUCCCAGCAUCUUUAACAAAUCUCAGUUCCCAGGAUUCUUUGGGGAAUGUCGUGCACAUCAAAUGCGUUUUACAUGUGCUGGCAAAGUGUACACAGCCAGAGGCAGUUUGGGAUCUUAUUUGUAUGCUCCUUUCCUUCCUUACAUCCUUUGUGUGUUCAAUGGCACUCAGAAUACCCAGCUUCAUUGGGUUAACAGAUGCCUCCAUAUAUAUAUAUAUAUAUAUAUAUAUAUAUAUAUAUAUAUAUAUAUAUAAAGAGCAUGUGUGUUUUCACUUCAAUACUACAGCCUGAAGAAAAGGUUUGCAUAGCUUUUAGGCUUGCUUUUCCUAUGUCUAACAUUUACUGAUCUAACAAAGAGGUGAAGUUUCUUGAUUGAAGAUUGCAAUAAGCCUCUGCAUUGCUUUAUUGGAAUGCUAAUAAUAAUAAUAAUAAUAAUAAUAAUAAUAAUAAUAAUAAUACAGCUUUAAUGCUGCUAAUUCAACAAUGAAAGCUGCUGGUGUAGCAAAGGGCAUACUGCUGAAAAUCACUGAUAAAAAGUUGGCCAAACUUUCCCCUCCCUUCUCUCUCAUUUCUUCAGGCUAUUUAAGCACUCCCCUCCUAUCGUGCCAACAGAAGACAUUUUACAAAGCUGCCAUUCCCAGCAUCUUUAACAAAUCUCAGUUCCCAGGAUUCUUUGGGGAAUGUUGUGCACAUCAAAUGUGCUUUAAAUGUGCUGGCAAAGUGUACACAGCCAGAGGCAGUUUGGGAUCUUAUUCAUACGGUCCUUUCUUUCCUUACAUCCUCUGUGUGUUCUUCUGGCCCUUGGAACACCCAGCUUUCAGGCCUUCAUAAAACAGCUAUUUUUUAUCCUGUGAAAGCAAUGCUGCUAAGUCAACAAGGAAACUGCUGGUUUACAAAGGACAUUCUGCUGAAGGUUACUGAUAAAAGGUUGGCCAUAGGUUUCCCCGCCCUUCUCUCUCAUUUCUUCAGGCCAUUUGCUUAGACAAGCCCCUCUUAUCGUGCCAACAGAAGGCAUUUUAUUGGAAAGAGGAACUUCAUUUUUCUCACUCGAGUUUUCCUUUUGCCGCAAGAGUGUCGAUCAGUUUCAGCCUGCAGCCAAGAACUGAACAAGCACAGAAGGAGAAAAUGGCACUUAGCAAAGACCGUGGCAUUACAAUGAAUGAUGGGAACAAAAUCCCCGUAUUGGGGUUUGGAACAUAUACCCCAGACACUGUAAGUAACACAUUUAACUCUCAGAUUCUUGUAAUUUGUUUUUGAAGAGAAAAAGGCCUGCCAGCUGCUGAGUGCUUCAUACAUUGCAAAGCACAGCACAAGAUGCCUCACCUGAUCUGAGAAGCCAAUUGUGCAUGAGAACUUAUUGUGUCACAGCAGCCAAGAAUGCAACAGAUGCCUUGCAGCACAUAAAGCGCUGCUUCUUGUUCAACAAGGGUCUUCAGCCAGCAGAUUCAGGAGCAAAUAAUGUUUUGUGCAAGACUUGGAUGGUUUGUAGCUGAGAAACAGUUUCCAGUGUGAAUGUCCGCAGGGUUCAAAGUCCCCAGUGCAAAAUGUCUAGUGAUGUUUAAAAAAAUCUUUCUAUAGAACUAUAAGUGCCCACUAUUACUUUUAUUGGGAGUAAUACUAUUAUCCAAAAUCACCAGACAUUAGCUAACUAUUUUGGACACUAACAAUAAAUAUAGAAUCAAUUCUUUAUCCAAACCAUCUUCAUUUGGUCCAUAUAACCAGCAAUGCAAAUGAAGGGAUCGGUGUCGAUUCUUAUUAUAUAAUUAAAUUAAUUUCUAGGAAUAUCAUGAAUUUACCAAAUAAAAGCUACCACUCAGUUUUUUUGAAGGAAUUUUCCUUUUUCCCUUUUUCCAAUUCAUAUCUACUCCAUUCACAUAUAAAGUGAGGGUAGAAUCUAUUUUAUACAAAGACAUACAUGCUGACGAAGAGACUUCCUCAAUCCCUUCUUGGAUAUCUCAUCUACUGUCUUUCACAAACAUUAAAAGAUUUUUUAAAAAGAGCAUUCUACAAACUGUAUGUGUCAACAGUGUUCCACUGUUUAAACCAAAAUAACUGACAAGUUAAUUGAUUGCUCGUUUUAAAUCCUGCAUGCCAUUCGGUGGCACAAUGUUAUUUGGCAUAAUACAACGCAUAUAAAUCACUUUUUCGCAUGUUUUUUCUUUAUUUUUAUUUGAUGACUCAGGUCUAGUUUGACAAUGUCCACCGACAAUCAGUGUUACUUUGAUAUAAAUUUCUCCACUGUGGCAGAAACCUUGACUAACUUUUUCACCUUUUCAACUGGUAGAUUCAAAAAAGCAAGUGUGAGGAGGCUACAAAGAUAGCAAUAGAAUUCGGCUUCCGUCAUAUUGAUGGCGCAUAUGUAUACCAGACAGAGGAGCACGUUGGGCGGGCCGUUCGUGCGAAGAUUUCAGAUGGAACAGUAAAAAGGGAAGACAUUUUCUACACUGGAAAAGUGAGUGAGUUUGGCAAAAUGUUUUACAAAAAUUGAGUAAAAUAUAGUGCCUGCAUCAUGAUGCUAUUUCACAGACAUUAUUUAACAAAAUCAGAGCAAAAUGCCUCUCCCUAUAUAAACCUACCCAGACUCUGCAUUCAUCCUCCGAGGCUCUUCUUUGUAUGCCUCCUCCAUGUGAGGCUCGGAGGGCGGCAAAACGAGAACGGGGCCUUUUCUGUUGGGGGAAUGCUCUCUGCAGGGAGGUUCAUUAUACACCUCUAGGUACCAGGCGAAUAUGUUCCUCUUCAACCAGGCCUUGGGCUUAUUAAUAUUCUACACCCUGUUUAAACCUGUUUGUGGGAGGAUGGAUUACAGUUCUGUUGCUUCUGUUUUGACUAUUUAUUUGUGCUUUUAUCUUGUGCUUUUAUCUUUGUGAACUGCUCCAAGAUCUUUUGAUGAAGGGCAAUAUAGAAAUUUAAUAAAUAAAUAGUAAAAAUAUUAUUUAUAAUCAAUAAUGGUUUUAAAAUUGCUUUCAGAAUUCAGAAUACUCUUCAGAACAAUAUUUAAGUUUGCCCUUAACACUGUGCACACCAGAAUAAUCAUCUGCCACAGCUAUAUGGUCCCGAGACCCAAAAACUCUAUGGCUGUGUGAAAAUAUAAAUAUCUUUAUAAUUUUGACAGCUCUGGAGUACCUUCCACCGUCCUGAGCUGGUUCGGAAAUGCUUAGAAGAAUCCCUGAAGAAACUCCAGUUUGACUACAUGGAUCUGUUCAUAAUUCACAAUCCAUAUUCUAUGAAGGUAAAUCAUUAUUGAUGUCAUAAUACAAGUAUUGAGUACAAUAUUUGAAUUGGGGGGAGGAGGGGGGAGAGCCUACUAAAAAUAUUUUAUUCCUUGAAGGAACAUUGGGAAUUGGCAUUUCCCAGAGAUGCUGACAGUUCUCUGCUAGAACAUAUCUUAAUCAAAGAAUGAUCACUCCCAGAUUUUGGGGGAGAAACCAUGCCAGUUAAAGAAAACCUUUGCAUAUAAUGAUUACAUUAACCACAUAGGCAUCAUAAGAAAGAAAUUGUGUGCAGAGCAGGACUUGGCGAGGGAGCGAGGGAAGAAUAAAAAGGGUUGGAGAGAUGGGGAGACAGACCUGGGCUUGUUACUUGAGUUUCCCACAGAUCCCUGCACUGUGGUAUCGGCCCCUGCAAGGUGAACUCCCUUUUUUAUCACUGUCCAUUAGUAUUAGAUAAUAUUACAGAGAUAAGAGAACUUCUAGGCCUGAAGUGCAUUUAUUCCCUCCGCCUCCUUCUUUUCCAGCCUGGACCAGAUUUAAUUCCCAUGGGAGAAGACAAAAAAAUGAUUUUUGACAACGUAGAUCUUCGUCAGACAUGGGAGGUAGGUGCCUGGGAUUAGCAAAUCCAGCCCUUGAGUCAUUCGGAUACAGAGCACAGUAGCCUUCCACCAGAGGAGGCAUGUCCAGAACAAUGACUCACACAAUGGCACCUAUGAGAGCUGGUGAAUUAUUGCACAGUCUUGGGAGUAUAUGAGUUAGCCUCCAAUCUUAAUCUGGAAAAAGGUGUGGCCUCAGCUAUUCAACAAACACCACUCAACAAACAUGUUGUGCUUUCUUUGCCAGGCAAUGGAGGCGUGCAAAGAUGCCGGCUUGGUGAGGUCCAUCGGAGUGUCCAACUUCACCCGGAAGCAGCUGGAAAUGAUCCUGAACAAGCCAGGGUUGAAAUACAAGCCAGUGAUAAACCAGGUCAAGUGUGAUUGCUUUUUCUAGGGGUUUGUUCCAAGCAUGGUUGAAAGCUUCUUUAUUUAAGCUCUUUUGUGAGAGGACCUUUGUUUGGAUGAACAUAGCCAUUCCCUUGAAAAACUUGCUUAAGGCUAUAAGGUUGCAGAUCCAGUCACAAGAAGUUAUGGUUAUGAGUUGUGGGGUGGACUCCCCUAAAUUCCUAGAACCAGUAAUGGGUUCUCAUUUAAUCAAGACCUCUGAAUCCUCAGACAAAAGGAAGUGUGGAGAAGUCCCUAAUUUUUGAAACAGGCAUCUCAGGUAGAAGGAGGCCUGCAAGCAGUCAGGGCCCACACAGCCUCUUGUGGGGACUCUGGAAGUUCUCAACUGUGGAGCGAAGUGCUUUUGAGUUAGAAGAAGAAGAAGAAGAGUUUGGAUUUGAUAUCCCGCCUUUAACUCCCCUUCAGGAGUCUCAAAGCGGCUAACAUUCUCCUUUCCCUUCCUCCCCCACAACAAACACUCUGUGAGGUGAGUGAGGCUGAGAGACUUCAGAGAAGUGUGACUGGCCCAAGGUCACCCAGCAGCUGCAUGUGGAGGAGCGGAGAUGCGAACCCGGUUCCCCAGAUUACGAGACUACCGCUCUUAACCACUACACCACACUGGCAUCUGGGCAAAGCUGUUGCACCCAAGCAGCCCAGAUUCACUUGGACACUGGUGUAUAUCAUAUAACCAAUGAGACCGAAGUUUUUUUAAGACCCUGAUAAAGAAGAGUCCCGGAUGAUAUAGAGCAGGCUUCCUCAACCUCGGCCCUUCCAUAUGUUUUUGGCCUACAACUCCCACGAUCCCUAGCUAGGAGGACCAGUGGUCAGGGAUUUUGGGAAUUAUAGUCUCAAAACAUCUGGAGGGCUGAGAUUGAGGAAGCCUGAUAUAGAGGCAUCUGCUCAGCUUGAUGGAAAGCCAGGAGAAUCCCCCAUCAGACCUUUCUGCUCAAGGUAGAAAAUUCAGAGAUUGAGUGGGCAGAAAUAGAGACACUGCAGGCAGGACAGUGUGCCCAGGAUAUUUCCAACAGGGCUGGAGUGACAGGAGAUUGUGGGGGAAUAAGCCCUGUCCCCCAUCUUCAGCUAACACACAUUUCACAGAGGAGGAGUUUGGCAAUGGAAACCACAAAUGCAAGAAUGGUCAUCUAAAGAUUCUGAUGCAUCAGAAAACAAAACCAACUUUAAGAAAAGAAACACUGGGAUAUUUCAAAAAAAUAAUAGCAUGCUUCUGCUUUUCUGUCUUUCCUUUGUUUCACUGUAUUCUUCGUUUUAUCUGAAUUCUCACUUUUGGGUUGUGUUGGGGGAUUUUGAAUCCACAGGUAGAAUGCCAUCCUUAUCGGAACCAAAGCAAGCUGCUGGCCUUCUGCAAGUCAAACAAUAUCAUCCUGGAAGGAUAUAGUGUCCUAGGAUCCCAAAGGGACCCAAGAUGGUAAGCCAAAAUGUUUGGGGACCACCAAUGCCAACUAUUCCCCAGCAUCCAGAUCAGCUCUGAAAGUUGUACUCUUGGUCCCACAAUUAAUAAAGAUCCUCAUGGUGGAUACCAGCACCAGGGCCUUUUCUGUGGUGGCCCCACAAUUGGGGAAGUCAUUACACAGAGAGAUCUACAAAGCUCUUCCCCUCCCAUUUUAGACAUUCUCAGAAACCUUCCCAUUGCUGAAGUGUUUUUAUAUAUAUAUAACUGCUUGACCUCUCCCAAACGUAUGUUUUUAAAUGUUGCGGGCUGGGAGCUAUUUAAUAAUUUCUGCUUCUGAAAUUUUGUGCUGUUUUUAAAUCAUAUUUCUAUUAUGUUUAAUGUUGCUUUAAGCAGUAGAAUGGCAGAGAUGAAAGGACCCUGUAUCCAGGCUUACAUUUACUGUAAAUAAUUAUAGCAUUUCUCUUUUUACAUAGCUUGUUUUGUGUGUCUCAGAAUUUUAAAUUGUAUUGUUUUUAUCUAUAUUGGAAGCCACUUAAAUGCUUAUUUUUAACAAGUGAGACCAGCAAGAAAUAUUGAGUUUUCUUUCACGACAAUGAGCUGUGCAUUCCUCCAGAGUCCUCCAUUUCAUUCGAACAUCAACUCUUCAGCAGGCACACAGGAUUCUUUGGGCCUUUCUUUCCCCCCUUAGGUCCUCCCCCCCCCCAAUACUGAUUGUACUUAAGCAAAGAAAAGACCUCCCUUUUGUGCACAAAUGCUACCAUUUUGCCUACAGAAUAGUCCAUAUGCAAUGUAUGAGUUUGCGAUUUAUUGGUGGCGGGGGUAGAGCACGAUACUAAACACUUAUAUUAGUUCAAAUCCACUAACCAAGCUUUAAAUACAAAAUAUUUAGUGUAUUUUGCAUGGACUAGGCCAAUACUGUAUUAAUUUUAGAGUGAGAUUUAUAUAUUCUGGACACCAGAAACAUACCUUCUCUCCAUGUUGCUUUCCGGCAGGAUAGAUCAAAACACUCCUGUCCUGCUUGAAGACCCUCUGUUAGUUGCGAUGGCCAAGAAGUACAACAAAACCCCAGCUCUCGUGGCUAUUCGCUACCAACUGCAGCGUGGCCUGGUGGUCCUGGUGAAGACCUACACCAGAAAGCGAAUUGAGGAAAAUGCCCAGGUAAAGCAGUAUAUAUUAAUCCAUUUAAAAACAAUACCGAAAAAGCACGUCACUUGGACACUGUGAUCUCACGGGUCACAUGACACAUGCGGGAGGGAAGAUGCGCAACUUGUUUUGGGGACUCAAGAUGUUGGAGGUGUUUCUAGCAGUGGGUAUUCAGAAGAAUCACUGCCUCAGACCGUGAAGGUAGAGUGCAGCCAUCAUGACUAGCUUCCAUUGCUAUUCUUAUCCACUAUGAACUUGUCUAAUGUUUAAAGCCAUCCAAGUUGGUGGCUGUCACUGCCUCCCGUGGGAGCAAGUUCAGUAGUUUAGCUAUGAGCUGCAUGAAGAAGUAGUGAACUACAUUCAUUGGAAUAUGACCUCCCUCAUCCCUGACCAUUGGACAUGAUGGCUGAGACUGAUGGGGAGUUGGAGUCCAUCCACAUCUGGGGGGCCACAGCUUUCCCACUCCUGUUCUAUUGCAAACCUAUAUUACUAUGCAUAUAAAAUUCCCUCAGUGGGAGGACAUCUGGACUGAAGUUGUUGAAUGAAGGGAUUGAACUUUGGAAGGUGGUAGCAAAGUUUGCUUUGAUAUCAUUGUUGCUGGAAAAAGGUGCACAAUUCUGAGGUGCAAAAAGAAGGCCUGAGGUAAAAGCACCUUAGCAUUUUAUUUUCUUCCCCUGACAGGCAUUUACUUUCCAGCUCUCUGAGGAGGAUAUGAAAUCCAUUGAUGGCCUUCACAAAAGCAUGAGCUUUUUAAAAGCGGAAAUGUAAGUCACAUUGAUAUAGUAAGCAUAUAAAUACAUAAAAGUGGUGCACGCAAGAAUUCACACUGUGAGAGCAAAAGGAAGAAACUAUCUGGCAUCCAUCUCUUCUCUUCAUAGAGAAUAAGGUGAAAUUCAUAGAGAAUAAGGUGAAAUUAUAGAAUUAUAGAAAUUAUAGAAUUAUAGAAAUUAUGGAGACUUUGUACGAAUCCCCAUGCAUUGUUGGAGUGGGGUGCAUUUUGAAUUUCAGCCUCCCAGAUAGUCAGCAGGGUGGGCAUUUGAUGGCAAACUAGGGGGGCUUACAAUGCACUGUGUGAAAUGUUCUCAUGACCCAAUGGCUGGCAACAGAUCUAUUUUUGUUCCUUCUGCGCCUUCCACACCCCUCUCUUUUCUUUUGUUUCAGAUUUGCUGGUCACCCACAAUAUUACCCACCAGAUGUGGAAUAAGGACCCAUCCCCCAUCUCCAAUUUAUCCCCUUCUGAACCUGGGUCCUUUUGCAUGGAAAAAAAUUGUUCUAACUAGGGGGUGGGCAAAUCUGUCAGUAUCAAUUCCUCCCAGCAACCCAGUGUCUCAUUUUCCACUCUUCAGUUCCUCACAUCCCCAAAUCAGUUUGGGAUUUUUGAAAAUCUCUUGAAAAUGCAUCCUUGCAAAUUUCUCCUACCAUACACAUUUUUCUUUGCACUUUUGGCUAAAAUAAAGCAUGUUUGCAUGGUGUUUUCACUGAUAUAUGCUCUUAAUGCAUACUUUACCACAGUAUAUACAUUUUUGCAAUUAUUCUGUAACUGAACAACUGCAUCACAAAAUUCAGAGGAUUGCCACUUUCUCAGGAUAACUGCAUAUAUGUCAAAUAGCACUUACAAGGGGGUGAUUCGUAUACUGAAAAUAGCACAAGGGGAGGAUUAACUUCCAUAAAAAGAAGCAAUUGCAUAGCCUGAGAUUUAUUGCCAAGAUGAUUUGAAAUACCUUCAGAAAAUAAGAAGGGCCUGCUGAAUCAGGCCAGUGGCCCAUCUAGUCCAGCAUCUGGUUCUCCCAGUAGCCAACCAGACGCCUGUGGGAAGCAGGACAUGAGGGGAAACUUCUAAAUUACAAAGUCGCUGCUUCCACUUCUGAGGAAGGGAUGGGCAGGAAUGACCAUUGCUGGCUGUGAGGUCCUCUGCUGGCUGUGAGGAGUAAAGAGAACUGGGUUUCGAUUGUCUGCCACCACGGCCUGAAAUGACUUCUGACCAUGUUAUACGCAUGCAUUCUAGCCUCUGGAAUCUGUAACAAUAUUCAAUAUGUCCUUUCUGUAAUAAUUUGUUGCUACUUGCUGUCUCCCACUCAGCCCCUGCUUUGCACAACCUGAACCCUCCAGUAAAGGCUGAGGCUAUGGACACUCUUCCUUUUAAUCUGCAUUCAGGCUGAGCAUUGUGCACACAGUGCCACAUUCCACUCAGAACACCCAGCUUCAUUGGGUUAACAGAUGCCUCCACAUAUUUCAUUUAUUAUUCUGUUUCUGAGCAUACGUGUUUUCAUUUCAAUACUACAGCCUGAAUAAAAGGUCUGCAUAGCUUUUAGGCUUGCUUUUCCUAUGUUUAACAUUUACUAAUUUAACAAAGAGGUGAUGUCUCUUGAUCAAAGAUUGCAAUAGGCCUCUGCAUUCCUUUAUUGGAACGCUAUUAUUAUUAUUAUUAUUAUUAUUAUUAUUAUUAAUCAGACAGCUAUUAUUUAUCCUGUGAAAGCAGUACUACUAAGUCAACAAUGUAAACUCUGGGGCAUCAAAGGAUAUUCUGCUGAAAAUUACUGGUAAAAAUUUGGCCCUAGGUUUCCCUGCCCUUCUUUCUUAUUUCUUCAGGGCAUUUUCUUAGACAUUCCCCUCCUAUCAUGCCAACAGAAGACAUUUCACUGGAAACAGGAACUUCAUUUUUCUGACUUGAGUUUUCUAUUGAAUUUUAAACAGAUUGAGCUUUAAUCAUCUUUAGACAACUGACAGGCAACCCAUAGAUUUCAUGUAGAAAUGCAUACAAUUUUGCAAAAAAGCAUUACCAUUUAAACCUCUAUCAUGAAGUCGUAACCUC